This 1140-nucleotide ribosomal RNA is filed under the name Triticum aestivum (bread wheat). Its description in RNAcentral is "partial small subunit ribosomal RNA". The record is from RNAcentral. Lineage: Eukaryota; Viridiplantae; Streptophyta; Magnoliopsida; Poales; Poaceae.
AUGGCUUGCACACAGAUGAACUGCUCCAAGAACGGGACAACCUCCGCUGCUGACCUGACAGAUGACCUUAUCAUCGAGAUUCUGUCCCUGCUGCCUGUCAAGUCAGUGUGCCGAUUCAAGUGUGUCUCCCGGCUCUGGUACCUCCUCAUCUCCCAACACCGCAAAAAGCUGCCCCAGACCAUCUCCGGUUUCUUCUACCCCAUGCACAGAUACAACAAUGAGGAUGGUUUGAUAGGAUUUCCCACUUUUGAUGGUAUUUCGGGGGACCAAAAGCAGCUAUUCCCUGAUUCCUCGUUGCCCUUCUUGACGGGAUACAGGCAGAUUUUGCCAAAGGACUGCUGCAAUGGCCUUAUUUUCUGCCUCUGCUGGAAGGACUCCCCAAUAGACGAAGCUGAUUAUGUGGUAUGUAAUCCUGCCACUGAGGAAUGGGUAGUCCUGCCUGAUGCUGGCCAUAGAAGCGAUGCAUUGGAGUACCGUUUGGGUUUCGAUGGAGCCAUGUCACCCCACUUCCAUGUGUUCCAGAUCCUAGAGGGUGAUGAGGACUAUGGAUAUAUCUCAGGUGUUAAUAUCUACUCAUCAGAGACAGGAGCCUGGAGUUACAAGGAAAAUGGUUGGGGCGACAAUGAGAUUCAGAUAGUUGAGAUGAGAGGUGUCUUUUUCAAUGGAAUGAUGCACUUGCUCACAUGUGAGUUUAAGAUACUAGCAGUUGACACGGAAGGCAAGACAUGGAGGACCAUUUCUUUGCUUGAAACCAUGUGUGUUGGAAACAUUUGUUUAGGUCCUCUAGCUUUUAUUGGUCAAUCUCAAGGGCGAUUGUAUUUUAUAAAUAUGAGAGACAAUGAUAGCUCCAAAUUAUCAGUCUGGAUUCUUGAGGACUAUAAUGGUAAUGAAUGGAUCUUUAAGUACAACAUCAGCACUUCACAACUUUUUGGGGAGCUUUUUGGGGAGAAGGAUCACAUGUUACAACGGGACUAUGCUGAUCUCUUGUUCCAAAGGGACUAUGCUUUGAUCGCAAUCCAUCCUGAGUGCAAUUUGAUAUUCUUUGUUUGGAGGUGCGAGGAUGUGCUACUGUCCUAUGACAUGGACCGUGACCAAGAGUGGAAGCAUGACUCCAGGGUGGAGGCUGACAGUUGUUACUGA